Molecule: ribosomal RNA, 402 nt
Filed under: uncultured bacterium
Lineage: Bacteria
Description: bacterial SSU rRNA
Rfam family: Bacterial small subunit ribosomal RNA
Source: RNAcentral
UAGGGAAUAUUGGACAAUGGGCGCAAGCCUGAUCCAGCCAUGCCGCGUGGGUGAUGAAGGCCUUAGGGUUGUAAAGCCCUUUCGGCGGGGAAGAUAAUGACGGUACCCGCAGAAGAAGCCCCGGCUAACUUCGUGCCAGCAGCCGCGGUAAUACGAAGGGGGCUAGCGUUGCUCGGAAUUACUGGGCGUAAAGCGCACGUAGGCGGCUUGUUAAGUCGGGGGUGAAAUCCCGGAGCUCAACUCCGGAACUGCCUUCGAUACUGGCAAGCUCGAGUCCGGGAGAGGUGAGUGGAACUGCGAAUGUAGAGGUGAAAUUCGUAGAUAUUCGCAAGAACACCAGUGGCGAAGGCGGCUCACUGGCCCGGUAUUGACGCUGAGGUGCGAAAGCGUGGGGAGCAAACA